Molecule: ribosomal RNA, 1530 nt
Filed under: Salmonella enterica subsp. enterica
Lineage: Bacteria; Pseudomonadati; Pseudomonadota; Gammaproteobacteria; Enterobacterales; Enterobacteriaceae
Description: 16S ribosomal RNA
Rfam family: Bacterial small subunit ribosomal RNA
Source: RNAcentral
AAAUUGAAGAGCCGGAUCAUGGCUCAGAUUGAACGCUGGCGGCAGGGCCUAACACAUGCAAGUCGAAUGGCAACAGGAAGCAGCUUGCUGUUUUGCUGACGAGUGGCGGACGGGUGAGUAAUGUCUGGGAAACUGCCUGAUGGAGGGGGAUAAACUACUGGAAACGGUAUACCACCGCAUAACGUCGUAAGCACCAAAGAGGGGACCUUCGCCUCUUUGCCAUCAGAGAUGCGCCCAGAUGGGAUUAGCUUGUUGGUGAGGUAACGGCUCACCAAGGCGACGAUCCUCAGUUCGGUCUGAGGAUGACCAGCCACACUGGAACUGAGACACGGUCCACCCUACGGAGCAAAGUGCAGUGGGGAAUAAUAUUGCACACGGGCGCAAGCCUACGCAGCUGCUGCGUGUAUGAAGAAGGCCUCGGGUUAAAGUACUUUCAGCGGGAGGAAGGUGCUGCGGCUAAUAAAUCGCAGCAAUUGACGUUACCCGCAGAAGAAGCGGCCCGCCAACUCCGUGCCAAAGAAACCGCAAGCGGUAAUACGGAGGGUGCAAGCGUUAAUCGGAAUUACUGGGCGCAAAGCGCACGCAGGCGGUCUGUCAAGUCGGAUGUGAAAUCCCGGCUCAACUCGCCGUGAACUGCAUUCGAAACUGGGCAGGCUUGGAGUCUUGUAGAGGGGGUAGAAUUCCAGUGUAGCGGUGAAAUGCGUAGAGAUCUUUUGAGGAAUACCGGUGGCGAAGGCGGCCCCUCGACAAAGACUGACGCUCAGGUGCGAAAGCGGGGAGCCAGGAUUAGAUACCCUCGUAGUCCACGCCGCAAACGAUGUCUACUUGAGUGUUGUGCCCUCGAGGCGUGGCUUCCGGAGCUAACGCGUUAAGUAGGACCGCUCGGGAGUACGGCCGUUAAAACUCAAAAUGAAUUGACGGGGCCCGCACAAGCGGUGGAGCAUGUGGUUUAAUUCGAUGCAACGUGCGAAGAACCUGCCCGCCUUGACAUCCAGCCAGAACUUUCCAGAGAUGGAUUGCGCCUUCGGGAACUGUGAGACAGGUGCCGCAUGGCUGUCGUCAGCUCGUGUUGUGAAAUGUUGGGUUAAGUCCCGCAACGACGCAACCCUAUCCUUGUUGCCAGCGAUUAGGUCGGGAACUGUAAGCGAGACCGCUAGUGAUAAACUGGAGGAAGGUGAUGACGUCGUCAUCAUGGCCCUGCAUGACCAGUAUACACACGCUACAAUGGCGUUACGCCAAAGAGAAGCGACUUCGCGAGAGCAAAGCGGACCUCAUAAAGUGCGUCAGUCCGAUUGGAGUUCGCAACUCGACUCCAGCGAAGUCGGAACGCUAGUAAUCGUGGAUCAGAAUGCCGGUGAAUACGUUCCCGGCCUUGCAAUAUCACCGCCCGUCACACCAUGGGAGUGGGUUUUCGUAAAAGAAGUAGGUAGCUUUAACCUUCGGGAGGGCGCUACCACUUUGUGAUUCAUGACUGGGGUGAAGUCGCAAUCAGCAAAAUCGUAGGGGAACCUGCGGUUGAUCACCUCCUUA